This 255-nucleotide ribosomal RNA is filed under the name uncultured bacterium. RNAcentral's name for it is "partial 16S ribosomal RNA". It matches the Rfam family "Bacterial small subunit ribosomal RNA", at positions 524 to 777 of the family's 1533-position model. The record is from RNAcentral.
UACGAAGGGGGCUAGCGUUGCUCGGAAUUACUGGGCGUAAAGCGCGUGUAGGCGGGUCUUUAAGUCAGGGGUGAAAUGCCAGGGCUCAACCUUGGAACUGCCUUUGAUACUGGAGACCUUGAGUCCGGGAGAGGUGAGUGGAACUGCGAGUGUAGAGGUGAAAUUCGUAGAUAUUCGCAAGAACACCAGUGGCGAAGGCGGCUCACUGGCCCGGUACUGACGCUGAGGUGGCGAAAGCGUGGGGAGCAAACAGGG